Molecule: ribosomal RNA, 497 nt
Filed under: uncultured bacterium
Lineage: Bacteria
Description: partial 16S ribosomal RNA
Rfam family: Bacterial small subunit ribosomal RNA
Source: RNAcentral
GAUGAACGCUGGCGGCGUGCCUAAUACAUGCAAGUCGAGCGAACGGACGAGAAGCUUGCUUCUCUGAUGUUAGCGGCGGACGGGUGAGUAACACGUGGAUAACCUACCUAUAAGACUGGGAUAACUUCGGGAAACCGGAGCUAAUACCGGAUAAUAUUUUGAACCGCAUGGUUCAAAAGUGAAAGACGGUCUUGCUGUCACUUAUAGAUGGAUCCGCGCUGCAUUAGCUAGUUGGUAAGGUAACGGCUUACCAAGGCAACGAUGCGUAGCCGACCUGAGAGGGUGAUCGGCCACACUGGAACUGAGACACGGUCCAUACUCCUACGGGAGGCAGCAGUAGGGAAUCUUCCGCAAUGGGCGAAAGCCUGACGGAGCAACGCCGCGUGAGUGAUGAAGGUCUUCGGAUCGUAAAACUCUGUUAUUAGGGAAGAACAUAUGUGUAAGUAACUGUGCACAUCUUGACGGUACCUAAUCAGAAAGCCACGGCUAACUACGUG